This 434-nucleotide ribosomal RNA is filed under the name uncultured Lachnospiraceae bacterium. RNAcentral's name for it is "bacterial SSU rRNA". It matches the Rfam family "Bacterial small subunit ribosomal RNA", at positions 341 to 792 of the family's 1533-position model. Lineage: Bacteria; Bacillati; Bacillota; Clostridia; Lachnospirales; Lachnospiraceae. The record is from RNAcentral.
ACGGGAGGCAGCAGUGGGGAAUAUUGCACAAUGGGGGAAACCCUGAUGCAGCGACGCCGCGUGAGCGAAGAAGUACCUCGGUAUGUAAACUUCUAUCAGCAGGGAAGGAAAUGACGGUACCUGACUAAGAAGCCCCGGCUAACUACGUGCCAGCAGCCGCGGUAAUACGUAGGGGGCAAGCGUUAUCCGGAUUUACCGGGUGUAAAGGGAGCGUAGACGGAGCUGCAAGUCUGAUGUGAAAGCCCGGGGCUCAACCCCGGGACUGCAUUGGAAACUGUAGAUCUAGAGUGCCGGAAAGGUAAGUGGAAUUCCUAGUGUAGCGGUGAAAUGCGUAGAUAUUAGGAGGAACACCAGUGGCGAAGGCGGCUUACUGGACGGCGACUGACGUUGAGGCUCGAAAGCGUGGGGAGCAAACAGGAUUAGAUACCCUGGUA